UCCCUGGUGGUCCAGUGGCUAAGACUCCGUGCUCCUAAUGCAGGGGCCCAGGUUCUACCCCUGGCCAGGGAA
Molecule: transfer RNA, 72 nt
Organism: Ovis aries (sheep)
Lineage: Eukaryota; Metazoa; Chordata; Mammalia; Artiodactyla; Bovidae
Rfam family: tRNA
About the family: Transfer RNA (tRNA) molecules are approximately 80 nucleotides in length.
Source: Rfam